CCAGUGAGAGAAGGAGAGGAGAGCCUGUGAGAAGAGGAAACACUUGAUGUGCAGGGCCACGUUGGUCCAUGUGACACAGAACGACUGGUUGAUGGUGUUGGGCCACCUGCUAUCCUUGCUGCUCAUCCCGAGCUGCUCUGAGGCUUAUGGUGUGGCUUUCAGACAAGAAGACCUGGCCUGCCAGUAUUUCUUGCUCUCCGCCAUGUCGGAGCAGGAAGAUGAUGAAAUGUGCUGGAAUAACUUGGAGAACUUCCGGGUGAAGCUGAUCUCAGUGAUAGACCCCUCCAGAAUAACGCCUUAUCUCCGCCAGUGCAAAGUGAUUAACCAUGAUGACGAAGAACAAGUGCUUAACGACCCCAGCCUGGUCGUCCGGAAACGGAAAGUAGGCGUCCUCCUGGAUAUACUUCAGAGGACAGGCCAGAAAGGUUUUGAGGCCUUUCUUGAGAGCCUAGAGCUUUACUACCCACUGUUAUAUAUGAAAGUAACCGGCAAGGAGCCCAGCAGGGUCUUUUCGAUGAUUAUAGACACCGCGGGGGAAUCGGGCCUGAGCCAGCUCCUGAUGAACGAGAUCAUGAAGCUGCAGAGCACCGUGCAGGAGGAGAGGAGGAAGGCUCAGGAGCUCAACAUGUGGCUCCAUGCCAAGGAGGAUGCGAUCAAGGAGAUGCGGGUGAGGGACAGUGUGCUGCGGAAGCACCAAGAGAGGGCCCAGAAGAUGAAGGAGGAGAGGGACAACUUGGCCAAGGAGCUGCGGAAAUGUAAGGAUGAGAACUACGACCUGGCCAUGAGCUACGCCAAGCAGAGCGAGGAGAAGAACACAGCCCUGAUGAAGAACCGGGAUUUGCAGCUAGAGAUUGACCAUCUGAGGCACAGCCUAAUGAAGGCCGAGGACGACUGUAAACUGGAGAGGAAGCACACGAUGAAACUGAAGCACGCCAUUGAGCAGCGGCCGAGCCACGAAGUGGUGUGGGAGAUCCAGCGGGAGAAGGAGCUGCUGCUGGCCAAGAAUCAAGAGCUGGAGAACACGCUCCAGGUCGCCAAGGAAGGGAACUUGGAGAAGAACAGCCUCUAUGUCCAGGCUCUGGAGGCUGAUCGGAGACGGGCACUCGGGGAGCAUCAGGAGCUGGUGAACACCAUCUACAGCCUGCGCAAGGCACUCCGGCAAGCGGAGGAUCUCCGGGACAAACACGCGGAGGAGAAGGAGGUGCUGGAGCUGCAGUGCAUGUCCCUGAGGAAGGACUCCUGGAUGUACAAGGAUCGCAUCGAGGCCAUCUUGAAGCAGAUAGAAGAAGUGGCUGCAGAAAGAGAUCAGGCGCUGCUGACCCGAGAACAGUUCCACAUGCAAUACUCCAAGAGCCUGGUCGACAAAGACGCAUACCGCAAAGAGAUCCGGGAGCUGGGGGAGAGGUGCGAUGAGAUGCAGCUACAGCUGUUCCAGAAGGAGGGCCAGUUACUAGCUGCUGAGGCCAAGCUGAAAAAGUUGCACCUGGAGCCACCCACGCUGACUUCUGACCUAGAUGACACCUCGCCCAGGAGCUCCCAAGAGCUCUCUUUCCAUGGAAACCUAGAUGAGGACACGCAGCUGUCUGAUAAAAAAGAUCUCCCUGAAAAUCAGGAUCAGCAGCUCAGUGCGUUAGAGAGCAUUCAGUGCCUGCAGUCGUCAAACGAGGGUGGCCCACCCAAUGGAGAGCUGGCUGAGAAGGAGCGGCGGCGGAUGAAGGACAGCUUUGAACACUAUCGGAGGUGUGGCCUGUGCUCUCAGGACUGCUCUUGCCAUAUUUGUUUGCAUAACCUACUGGUCACUGUGUGUCAUGUCCCCUGUUGUGCCUGAUCCACAGAGGAUGAGAGUUUGUUACUGCCUCCUUUUCUAGCUCAAGCUGUAGGGACUCGUGCAUUUAGUCCAGAUGUACCGAGCAUGUUGGCCAAAAUGGAAGCCGUUGCAUUGCACUGAAACAAGUGUGGAUGUUUUCAGACACAAAUGUAUAACAUGGCCUGUGUCAUAGGCUGCUUCAUGCCAUUUCCACAGUAGUUUAACAGAGGGGUACCCAGAGGACAUAAGCUGGAGGUGGUCACCUGGGUCAUGGGCACUGGAUCACAAUGCCACUCACUCAGAUUUGUAGGGGGUCUAUGCAGGGGCUCAUGGGCCAUGGGGGUCAGGCUGCUGGUGGGGAUAAGGGGUUCCUGAGAGGAGAAAAUGAGGGUCAGGUGGCAGGGACACAUCUAUGCCUCCCACCCCAGACUUUUAAUGGCACUCUGCAGUCCUGGGGGCACCAUGCUUUGGGAACUGCUGGCUUGGUAAGUUUGAUCUAUUUUACUAGCGCAGGGUUCCAUCCUGCUGCUGCUGACACCAAAGACCAAGUUCCUAUUAAUGAGACUCGGGGCAGGUUUGAGCUGUUUCAAUCCCCAAAGACGGAGAUGGAGGCACUCCGCAGCUUGCAAUAAUUCUGAAAGGGCCGAGCAUCUUGUAAAAUACGGAUCUUAAUUUGCACACUAAAUAGAAAUGAUCCAAAAGAGCUAAAUACUGGAGCAGGAACAUCUAAAACCAUGUUGUAUUGUUUCUGUAAGUGGUAGUGUGCUGGGCUCUUACGUAAUAUUUGUAUUCAAGAAGGAACUGAGAGUCUGGAAAUUCUCGCGUUCAGUUGUACUGUACUUAGAGGAAUAUAGGACUGGCUUUACUGCUCUAGACUAAAUCCAAUAAACUGCUUCUGAUCACAGUCUAUAUUGGAUGCUGGAGAAAACCCAGAAUACUAAUAGCAAUUGUGGAUAAUUUAUUUGACAAAGUUGCCCCAAUGAACAAUGUUGAUUUAGCCAGUGCUCCCCAGAAGGUACAGGCGUGUGUGAUACUGUUAUCAUGGAAGGAGACUUCUUCCUGACCUUCAGCAGGAAGAGGGCAUUGCGAAGGGUGCAGAAGGGCAGACACCAUGAAGUGGAUUGGGAAAACAACA
This is a non-coding RNA of Caretta caretta (loggerhead turtle), 2942 nucleotides long. The record is from RefSeq and is a predicted model, not a curated record. Lineage: Eukaryota; Metazoa; Chordata; Testudines; Cheloniidae.